This is a long non-coding RNA of Ruditapes philippinarum (Manila clam), 3136 nucleotides long. RefSeq lists it as uncharacterized. The record is from RefSeq and is a predicted model, not a curated record. NCBI's taxonomy places the organism in Eukaryota, Metazoa, Mollusca, Bivalvia, Venerida, Veneridae. The transcript has 3 exons.
AGUUUUAUUAGUAUUGAAAUUUAAAGAAAUAAUGCGACAAAUGUAUUCCGUAAAAAAAUGAAAAUAAAACUUGCUUCUAGAUUCUACAGUAUUGUAGUGUACUUUGAACUUACAAAAAGUCAGCAACUCUGUAGAAGUUACUGUAGAUCUACUGUACUGUGUACAGUAGAAUUGCAAGAAUUUCAACGAAAGAAAUUUAAAAGUUUUUUUUUAGAAAGAUGCUACUAUUAGAUCUACCAAGGUGCCGUUUUAUCAACGAUCGUACGCCCGGUCGUAGCUAAGAUUUGGUCGUACGACCGAUCUUACGGCUACGUCGCGUUUUAUCAACAUGGUCGUAGCUAAGACGUCGUAGAUUAACGUCGUAACUUUAAGGCUGCUUCAGACCAGUCGUAAGUAGGCUAAAGAUCUUAAAAAUGGCGGCCAUUUUUGCAUAAUUCCCGAUAGGAACUUUCAAACACAAAUAUUUGAACAAUUGAAGUUUUCAACUAACGUAGGUUUUCCGCGUACAUGUUUAUGUACAGUGCUGAUCCUAUUUAACAUCCCAGGGACGCAACUAUCACUUUCAGUUUAAUCUCUGGAUAAUUUCCACAAAGAAGCUAUGACCUUUCAAUGAAGUUGCUACAGUAUCUAGGUGAAAGACAUGUGCUAAUAAUGUAAAAUCAACAUGGCAACAUAUGAUGUUAACAUAAAGUACAGUGCUGUAAUGGGAAUGCAAAUGAAACUGGAGCACUGUUGUUUGCUAAAGCCAAAAUCUGAUUAAAGCACUACACCUCACCUUUUGGUUAUGUGUUGUUAUGUGCUUUACACAAAUUAAGGUGGAACAUGUGAAAUGCAAUUAAUUAUGGUGAUUAAAAUAUUCAUUGUUUUAACACAUUUCUUGUUAUAUAAUAUGUAUGGACCAAAUCAAAAUAUUGUAGAGAUAUUCCUUUUCCCCUAAUAUAUUUAUAUGGUAUUAAUGAUAAUCAGUUAAGUACUUUAUAUUUUUUUCUAAAAUAUAAUUAUCAGUCAUUAAAACUUCAAAAUAAGUUUGGCUAUUUAAAAUAACUUAUUUUGUAUUAGUCAUUUAAAGUGGGUGACCUACUAUCUUAGAUAUGAGAUAUCUCUUUCACCCCUCAUUUGUUCUAACAUUGAUACUGGAAAAAACAUGUAUGUCCCAGUUUGACAGUACAUUGAUAGUUAUGUUGAAAAUCACACAUAAUAUUUUUUAUCAACAAUUAUAUAGCAGAUUUUUCUUUAAUUUCAUGUCACAUUGAUACUUAAAAAUUGUCUUUCAUGUAAUGUUUCAGAAAAUGAUGUAAUAUAUCAAAGUUCCAUGUUGUAAGUUGACUUGUCAGUGUUAAAAAUUUUGAAAAUUGCCUUGAGUUAAACAUUUUCUAAAAAAAAUACUAAAAAAAGAAAAUUAACAAACAAAAGGUUUAUUUGUUGAUGAAAUAUUUAUUCUAGAAAUAAUCAGGGAUGAUGGGUGAAGUGUCUUAAUGAUUUUGGGAUGUGAAGUGUCUUCAGAUGUUAAGUGUCUUGUUUCCACAUUUAAACAAAUACUAUUGUAAUAUAUUGUAGUAAUGUUAGAUUUGUGGAAAUCAUUAUCAUAUUUACUCAUAGGUUUGUUAAAGUUUAUGUAGAUAUUAUCCUAGUAGGCUUCUUUUCAGGUAUCACUUGAUUUUCUUUUAUACAUGUACAUGCUAUAUAGAGUCUAUGAAAUUGUAGCUGAAUUUUUAUCUGAUUUUCCUUACAGAUAUAAGGCAGCAUGAAUAGUUAGUACUUGGUGCAUCUGCUGAUCAAUGUGUUUGUAAAAGAGAUGAGGCUGUAUAUCACCAGGAUUACUGCUGAAUUAUGGAAGGUUUACAGCUAAACAAUCCUAUGGUUGGAAUCAAUAUCCAAGGACAGCUUUCCCUUAAAGGGGCCAAGUGUUGUGACCUUGUUAUAUGGCCAACAAAGGACAUAAAAGUCAGUCCUAAAGAUAGCUAAGAAGAAAGUUAUAUAGACUAUUAAACAUUUCAUCAAUUUAUAUUGAAUAAAGUAGGUUAUGUAUAAUUUCAUACAUUCCAUAAAAACUUUGUUUCUACAUGCACAUGAAUAAAAAUAACACUUGAGUAUGGUCACAAAGGGAUAGUCAGUGAUCUACAAUUAUUAUCCUGGAUGCAUGUAGGAUGCUUUAUGUGAAUGCUUGUUUUAUUAAUGAUUAAUGAAAACAUAUACAUAGGUUAAAGUCUUUUAGUUGUUUCUGAGUGUAUACCUUGGAUGGUACAUGUUUGUACUGACUGUAUAUUCACUUGUCUUAAGUGUAUUAAUGUAUGUCAAAAUGAAAUAUUUAUAUUUCAUGAAGUGAUAACUUUACUGAAUCAUUCUCUUGAAUACAUGUAACAUUAUGAAAUGUUUGAUUCAUGUUCAAAACUUGAAAGGAAUACACAGCAAAAUGAUGUACUUCUCUGUAUAGUGACUACAAAAACAAAGAUUUGUGUGUUACAAUUCAUCUGAAAGUAAAAUGACAUGAGAUAAAUCAAAGUAACAUACACACAUGUGUUUAUAUUGAUAUUUAUUGAUUUUUUGUUACAUGAAUGUAUUAAAAAUUGUUGGGAUGAAUAUUAAAAACACAAAGAAAAUAACACAAAAGGGACAAUAAUGAAAAUAAACAAUCUUAAUGUAAAUCUGUGAAACUUUCUACAGAAUUCCCUGGAAGUGACAUUUUAUAUUUAAUGUGCUAAAUUUAUUAUUUGUCUUAACUGCUCUUGUCUGAAUAGUGUCUUAACUGCUCUUGUCUGAAUAGUACCCUGUGUCUGUUAAAACAUAUUGUUUUUAUAUUGUUAUCUAGUUUCAAGACUGUUUUCUAGCAGAUAUGUACAUAAAUUCUAAACAGGUAUUAUUAAAAAUUAAUAUGAAUUAGAAUAUUGUAACAUGUCAUUUCAAUGUCAUAAUUUUCUUUGCAAUAUGUAUUCAUUGUCAUACUGGAAUAAUAAUAAUAAUAACUAGAAAUGUGUCAUCAUGCCACGGAUGCCCCCGCAUGCAGCCAAAAUUUCAGAUGGUGCUUUAAUUAUUUUUUUCAUUUUAAGUUCAAAGCCCUUAAAACUUUUCAAUGUUAACACAAACCAUUUUCAUACAAUGUUCAAGGCACUGAAAUUAUUCAGUCUAAACCUUUUAA